This 216-nucleotide ribosomal RNA is filed under the name Glomeromycotina sp. Its description in RNAcentral is "partial small subunit ribosomal RNA". The stretch from base 40 to 216 matches the Rfam family "Eukaryotic small subunit ribosomal RNA", at positions 686 to 864 of the family's 1831-position model. Lineage: Eukaryota; Fungi; Glomeromycota. The record is from RNAcentral.
GGGUCAGUAGGUUGGUCGUGCCACCGGUACGUACUGGUCUCACUGAUUCCUCCUUCCUGAAGAACCGUAAUGCCAUUAAUUUGGUGUUGCGGGGAAACAGGACUGUUACUUUGAAAAAAUUAGAGUGUUUAAAGCAAGCUAACGCUUGAAUACAUUAGCAUGGAAUAAUGAAAUAGGACGAUCGAUCAUAUUUUGUUGGUUCCUAGGAUUGACGUA